CAAAAAGCGUUAAAGCUUCAUUGUUUUUAUCAAAAAUACCAUUAAUCUACUGUAACCCUUCACCUGUACUGAAUGAUCUCAUAAUUAUAUGAGAGCCUAUAUGUUAGAACUAGUAACAAGAAGAAGCCCUUCUCCAAAAUGUAAGCAUGAGCCAAAAUGAACUAUUCAUUGGCAUUUAAAGUUAUAAACCCAUUGUAGCAACUUAACAAGAAAAACCUACAACUGCAAACGUCAACCUUACACCAGCACAUUUCUGGAAAGAUAAAAAGAAUAGGAAGGAACUCGGCAAAUAACUAACCCCGCCUGUUUACCAAAAACAUCGCCUCCUGACUACCCAUAGGAGGUCCAGCCUGCCCAGUGACUAAGUUAAACGGCCGCGGUACCCUAACCGUGCAAAGGUAGCGCAAUCACUUGUUCUUUAAAUGAGGACUAGUAUGAACGGCAUCACGAGGGUUAUGCUGUCUCCCUACUCUAUUCAGUGAAACUGAUCUCCCCGUGAAGAAGCGGGGAUAAAGAUAUAAGACGAGAAGACCCCAUGGAGCUUUAAACUCAGUACCAACUGCCCGCAUAAUAACCUAUUACCCUUGCAGCCAUGGUUACUAGUUUUCGGUUGGGGUGACCACGGAGUAAAAUUUAACCUCCACGAUGAAAGGAACUAAUGUCCUAACCUAUGAGCUACAGCUCUAAGUAUCAACAAAUUGACUAAUUGACCCAAUUACUUGAUCAACGAACCAAGUUACCCUGGGGAUAACAGCGCAAUCCAUUUCAAGAGCUCAUAUCGACAAAUGGGUUUACGACCUCGAUGUUGGAUCAGGGUAUCCCAGUGGCGCAGCCGCUACUAACGGUUC
This 848-nucleotide ribosomal RNA is filed under the name Microhyla mukhlesuri. RNAcentral's name for it is "partial large subunit ribosomal RNA". It matches the Rfam family "Bacterial large subunit ribosomal RNA", at positions 1379 to 2574 of the family's 2925-position model. Lineage: Eukaryota; Metazoa; Chordata; Amphibia; Anura; Microhylidae. The record is from RNAcentral.